RNAcentral lists this long non-coding RNA (925 nucleotides) under Brassica napus (rape). RNAcentral describes it as "long non-coding RNA (BNAP_LNC009982)". Lineage: Eukaryota; Viridiplantae; Streptophyta; Magnoliopsida; Brassicales; Brassicaceae. The record is from RNAcentral.
AUUAUUUUACUGUGAAAUGCAUGAUAUAUGUUUUGUUGUUGGGUUCGGUAUUUAGUGGUUGUGAGUGGGGUUAGAAUCCUAUGCUAUUUUGCUGAUAUGAAAUAUAUAUAUUUUUUUAUUAAAAAGCUUUACUGUUUGUGGGUUUGGGGUUGCAGUUUAUAUUUUCUUUUAAGGUUUAGGGUUUAAUAAUACAUAAUACUAUUUCGGUGAUCUACAUUGUAUAGUUUCAUAUUACAUAAUAUUAUGCACUAUUUUAAGUUUUGGGUUUAGGGUUUAAAUUUGAUUUAGGGUUUAGUGAUUUUGGGUUUAAGGUUUAGUAAUUGGAAGGUGAGGGUUGAGGUUGGGGUCAACAUAUACAUUUCAUAAUUUCACCAAUAUGUACUGUACUAUUGAUUUUGUUCCAUUCUAUCUGAGUUUAGGGUUUAUAUUGGUAUUUAAGAUUUAUAUUUGGGUUUAGGAUUUUGUGAUUAAGGUUUAGGGUUUAGUAUUUAGUAUUUGGAAGGUGGAGGUUGAGAUUGAGACCAUUAUUAACUUCUUACAUGCAAGCCUAGACAUUUCAUAAUUUUGUAAAUAUGUAUUAUAUUAUUUAUUUUACUUCAUUCUAUUUGGGUUUAGAGUUUAUAUUUGGAUUUAGGAUUUAUAUUUUGGUUUUGGCUUUAGUGACUAGGAUUUAGGAUUUAGUAUUUAGGGGUUGUGGAUGUAAUUGUGAUAGGCUUUAAUAUCUAGGGUAGAGAUGAAAAUGGUGUUCUAUAUUAAUUUGUUGAUAGGAAGUAAAUGAAAUAUACCAUUUACUGCAGGAGUAUUUUAUUUUUGUCCACUUAUUUAUUGAACACAUUGAAAUGUAUGCGUUUAUUUAGUACGUGACAUGGAAGGUGUAUCUUUCCUUUUAAGAUAUAGCUCACUGUAAAUAAUGACAAUACAUGUU